UACGUCGGGGGCAAGCGUUGUCCGGAUUUAUUGGGCGUAAAGAGCGUGUAGGCGGCCAAACAGGUCAGCUGUGAAAACUCGAGGCUCAACCUCGAGACGUCGGUUGAAACCAUCUGGCUAGAGUCCGGAAGAGGAGUGUGGAAUUCCCGGUGUAGCGGUGAAAUGCGCAGAUAUCGGGAGGAACACCGGUGGCGAAGGCGGUUCUCUGGGCCUGUUCUGACGCUGAGGAGCGAAAGCGUGGGGAGCGAACAGG
Molecule: ribosomal RNA, 253 nt
Filed under: uncultured bacterium
Lineage: Bacteria
Description: partial 16S ribosomal RNA
Rfam family: Bacterial small subunit ribosomal RNA
Source: RNAcentral